UUGGGGGAAGCUUAAUAAAAUAGCAAGUGCGAGUAAGCUGACAGUUUUAUAUCUAUCGUACCAAAUGAGUAGUGGUCUUUACUUCUGAUUCGAACAAAAUAUGAUUUCGCAAAAAUGUUUUAUUAUUUUGACAGUUUUGUGUUUUAGCGAACUUGCAGGCGCUAUUCCGAUAGAAUGUCCGCAUAUAAGACAUAGUAAUAUAAGUGGAAGUAGAUUUAGAUCUUGCCUAAAUCGUAUACGUGGAAUUAUGGGCAUGUUAUGUGCAAAUAGAAGUCAAGGUGGCCGUGUACGUCGCAUAUCAAGCGCCGAGUUCCAGCAACAACUCUACUGCGAGUGUUGCACCCAGAGCUGUUCCGUGAGAAAGCUCCUGUCCAUGUGCUAACGCUGGAAGUAUACGACGGAAGUUCUUGACACAGGCGCAGACGACAAAUCAAGCCAAGAAUACAAUCCGUCAAGGCGAACUUCAACUUUGUCCUACCAGUGAAAAUUUCUGGAUGGAAUAAACUUUUGUCUCAGAUCACUAUAUUGUCACGUGUUGUGCGUAGUUAGAUAGUUUCUCUCAUACUUUAUUGAUUCUGAAUAUCAUAAAUCGAGUCUCGGCUUUUGUUAAAUUUCAAAAUCACUUUUCUAUAAUUAUUUGGAAUUUUUAGCCUAAGGUCAAAUUAGAUUCUGAAAAUGAAAAUUACCAUCUUACAGGCAAUAUUCUAGAGCGGAAGAAGGCAGAACUGCAUUUCACCAGAAUUUAACAGGAGAUUCUAUGUUCAAAGAUCGCUGAGAGCUAACUAAAAUAUCUAGCAAAUGAUGUUGAAUUAUAACACCAUUUCAUAAUUACGACAUACCGCAAUGUUUUGCCUUUAAGAACAUGAGAAAACAAGAUUUAAGUAAACAUACCCGGGGGCAAUGUCUUUAGAAGUCUGAUAUAUGCAAGAUUCCUUUUUGCAUUAACAAUGAUACAGUUCACCCCUAAAACGUGCAAAAAAAUCUUGCCUACUUAGCGGGUACAAACAAACAUAUCCCGAUUGUAGAUCACCUUAAAGUUUUCUUUCCCUUUGGGAAAAGAUGUUUUUCACGUGCGCUUUAAGAUGCUAUGUUGUAAGUUCUUUUACCAAACUAUAUACAAUUUUUACAAGUAGCUGAAAAUAUUAUUGCAGUUAAAUAAUGGUAGGCAAGAAAAAUGUUUGUACACGUGUGCCUGUGUAAGACAGAUGUUUCCCAACCCUCGGGACAUCGUGGGUAAGAAACCUCGCUAACAUCUCAUUUCUAUUUCACGCUUGCCCCUCGGGUUGGGAAAACUAAACAGGUAAGCACGUACAAAAACCCAUAUAAUCUGUAGGUAAAGGUGGGAACUUUUAUAGGGCGUAGUUAUAUCUUUAAACUAUGAUUUGAAUGGUCCUGUGUCAACGUCUUUAAGUGCUACAUUGCUUCGAGUCUGUGAUAAAAUAAGUGAUUUAUUAUAAGGUAACCCCGGCGUCAUUUAGUGCUUUCGUGACAGUGUCUUGUACAACUACAGUCUGGACUUGCACUUGUAGAAUAUUUAUUUGUUAACACACUAGACAAUAUUAUUUUGAAUAAAAAGAAAUCCAAUAUAUGUA
Molecule: long non-coding RNA, 1592 nt
Organism: Mercenaria mercenaria
Lineage: Eukaryota; Metazoa; Mollusca; Bivalvia; Venerida; Veneridae
Exons: 2
Source: RefSeq, a predicted model, not a curated record